CUGGUGGCGAGUGGCGAACGGGUGAGUAAUGUAUCGGAACGUACCUUUCAGUGGGGGAUAACGUAGCGAAAGUUGCGCUAAUACCGCAUAUUCUGUGAGCAGGAAAGCAGGGGAUCGCAAGACCUUGCGCUGAUUGAGCGGCCGAUAUCAGAUUAGCUAGUUGGUGAGGUAAAGGCUCACCAAGGCGACGAUCUGUAGCGGGUCUGAGAGGAUGAUCCGCCACACUGGAACUGAGACACGGUCCAGACUCCUACGGGAGGCAGCAGUGGGGAAUUUUGGACAAUGGGGGCAACCCUGAUCCAGCCAUGCCGCGUGAGUGAAGAAGGCCUUCGGGUUGUAAAGCUCUUUCGGCCGGGAAGAAAUCGCAUGGGUUAAUACCCUGUGCGGAUGACGGUACCGGCAUAAGAAGCACCGGCUAACUACGUGCCAGCAGCCGCGGUAAUACGUAGGGUGCGAGCGUUGAUCGGAAUUACUGGGCGUAAAGCGUGCGCAGGCGGUUUUUUAAGACAGGCGUGAAAUCCCCGGGCUCAACCCGGGAACUGCGCUUGUGACUGGAAGGCUAGAGUAUGGCAGAGGGGGGUGGAAUUCCACGUGUAGCAGUGAAAUGCGUAGAGAUGUGGAGGAACACCAAUGGCGAAGGCAGCCCCCUGGGCCAAUACUGACGCUCAUGCACGAAAGCGUGGGUAGCAAACAGGAUUAGAUACCCUGGUAGUCCACGCCCUAAACGAUGUCAACUAGGUGUUGGGUGGGUAAAACCAUUUAGUACCGGAGCUAACGCGUGAAGUUGACCGCCUGGGGAGUACGGCCGCAAGGUUAAAACUCAAAGGAAUUGACGGGGACCCGCACAAGCGGUGGAUGAUGUGGAUUAAUUCGAUGCAACGCGAAAAACCUUACCUACCCUUGACAUGUCCAGGAGCCUGAAGAGAUUUGGGUGUGCCCGAAAGGGAACUGGAACACAGGUGCUGCAUGGCUGUCGUCAGCUCGUGUCGUGAGAUGUUGGGUUAAGUCCCGCAACGAGCGCAACCCUUGUCGUUAAUUGCCAUCAUUCAGUUGGGCACUUUAACGAGACUGCCGGUGACAAACCGGAGGAAGGUGGGGAUGACGUCAAGUCCUCAUGGCCCUUAUGGGUAGGGCUUCACACGUCAUACAAUGGUCGGUACAAAGGGUUGCCAAGCCGCGAGGUGGAGCCAAUCCCAGAAAGCCGAUCGUAGUCCGGAUCGCAGGCUGCAACUCGCCUGCGUGAAGUCGGAAUCGCUAGUAAUCGUGGAUCAGCAUGUCACGGUGAAUACGUUCCCGGGUCUUGUACACACCGCCCGUCACACCAUGGGAGCGGGUUCCGCCAGAAGUAGGUAGCCUAACCGCAAGGAGGGCGCUUACCACGGCGGGGUUCGUGAC
This 1395-nucleotide ribosomal RNA is filed under the name metagenome. Its description in RNAcentral is "bacterial SSU rRNA". It matches the Rfam family "Bacterial small subunit ribosomal RNA". The record is from RNAcentral.